GAAUUCGCCCUUAGAGUUUGAUCCUGGCUCAGGGCGAACGCUGGCGGCGCGCCUAACACAUGCAAGUCGAACGAGCGAGAGAGAGCUUGCUUUCUCGAGCGAGUGGCGAACGGGUGAGUAACGCGUGAGGAACCUGCCUCGAAGAGGGGGACAACAGUUGGAAACGACUGCUAAUACCGCAUAAGCCCACAGGUCGGCAUCGACCAGAGGGAAAAGGAGCAAUCCGCUUUGAGAUGGCCUCGCGUCCGAUUAGCUAGUUGGUGAGGUAAUGGCCCACCAAGGCAACGAUCGGUAGCCGGACUGAGAGGUUGAACGGCCACAUUGGGACUGAGACACGGCCCAGACUCCUACGGGAGGCAGCAGUGGGGAAUAUUGCACAAUGGGGGAAACCCUGAUGCAGCGACGCCGCGUGGAGGAAGAAGGUCUUCGGAUUGUAAACUCCUGUUGUUGAGGAAGAUAAUGACGGUACUCAACAAGGAAGUGACGGCUAACUACGUGCCAGCAGCCCGCGGUAAAACGUAGGUCACAAGCGUUGUCCGGAAUUACUGGGUGUAAAGGGAGCGCAGGCGGGAAGACAAGUUGGAAGUGAAAUCCAUGGGGCUCAACCCAUGAACUGCUUUCAAAACUGUUUUUCUUGAGUAGUGCAGAGGUAGGCGGAAUUCCCGGUGUAGCGGUGGAAUGCGUAGAUAUCGGGAGGAACACCAGUGGCGAAGGCGGCCUACUGGGCACCAACUGACGCUGAGGCUCGAAAGUGUGGGUAGCAAACAGGAUUAGAUACCCUGGUAGUCCACACUGUAAACGAUGAUUACUAGGUGUUGGAGGAUUGACCCCUUCAGUGCCGCAGUUAACACAAUAAGUAAUCCACCUGGGGAGUACGACCGCAAGGUUGAAACUCAAAGGAAUUGACGGGGGCCCGCACAAGCAGUGGAGUAUGUGGUUUAAUUCGACGCAACGCGAAGAACCUUACCAAGUCUUGACAUCCUGCGACGGACAUAGAAAUAUGUUUUUCCUUCGGGACGCAGAGACAGGUGGUGCAUGGUUGUCGUCAGCUCGUGUCGUGAGAUGUUGGGUUAAGUCCCGCAACGAGCGCAACCCUUAUGGUCAGUUACUACGCAAGAGGACUCUGGCCAGACUGCCGUUGACAAAACGGAGGAAGGUGGGGAUGACGUCAAAUCAUCAUGCCCUUUAUGACUUGGGCUACACACGUACUACAAUGGCGUUAAACAAAGAGAAGCAAGACCGCGAGGUGGAGCAAAACUCAGAAACAACGUCCCAGUUCGGACUGCAGGCUGCAACUCGCCUGCACGAAGUCGGAAUUGCUAGUAAUCGCAGAUCAGCAUGCUGCGGUGAAUACGUUCCCGGGCCUUGUACACACCGCCCGUCA
Molecule: ribosomal RNA, 1384 nt
Filed under: uncultured bacterium
Lineage: Bacteria
Description: bacterial SSU rRNA
Rfam family: Bacterial small subunit ribosomal RNA
Source: RNAcentral